GCCUGGGUGGCUCAUUCGGUUAAGCGUCUGACUUCGGCUCAGGUGAUGAUCUCACGGUUCGUGGGUUCGAGCCCACCUUCGGGCU
Molecule: transfer RNA, 85 nt
Filed under: Felis catus (domestic cat)
Lineage: Eukaryota; Metazoa; Chordata; Mammalia; Carnivora; Felidae
Also listed under: 1 other name
Rfam family: tRNA
About the family: Transfer RNA (tRNA) molecules are approximately 80 nucleotides in length. Their secondary structure includes four short double-helical elements and three loops (D, anti-codon, and T loops). Further hydrogen bonds mediate the characteristic L-shaped molecular structure. tRNAs have two regions of fundamental functional importance: the anti-codon, which is responsible for specific mRNA codon recognition, and the 3' end, to which the tRNAs corresponding amino acid is attached (by aminoacyl-tRNA synthetases). tRNAs cope with the degeneracy of the genetic code in two manners: having more than one tRNA (with a specific anti-codon) for a particular amino acid; and 'wobble' base-pairing, i.e. permitting non-standard base-pairing at the 3rd anti-codon position.
Source: Rfam by way of RNAcentral